GGGUGAAAUUCUGGCCCCAAUGAAGUCAAUGGGAGUUUUGCCAUUGACUUCAGUAGAAACAGGAUUUCA
RNAcentral lists this microRNA precursor (69 nucleotides) under Pelodiscus sinensis (Chinese soft-shelled turtle). RNAcentral's name for it is "miRNA (ENSPSIG00000019413.1)". The record is from RNAcentral. Lineage: Eukaryota; Metazoa; Chordata; Testudines; Trionychidae.